GGGGACACGUAUCGGAUUAUUGGGCGUAAGAGCUCGUAGGCGGUUUGUCGCGUCUGCUGUGAAAUCCCGAGGCUCAACCUCGGGUCUGCAGUGGGUACGGGCAGACUAGAGUGCGGUAGGGGAGAUUGGAAUUCCUGGUGUAGCGGUGGAAUGCGCAGAUAUCAGGAGGAACACCGAUGGCGAAGGCAGAUCUCUGGGCCGUUACUGACGCUGAGGAGCGAAAGGGUGGGGAGCAAACAGGCUUAGAUACCCUGGUAGUCCACCCCGUAAACGUUGGGAACUAGUUGUGGGGUCCAUUCCACGGAUUCCGUGACGCAUCUGACGCAUUAAGUUCCCCGCCUGGGGAGUACGGCCGCAAGGCUAAAACUCAAAGGAAUUGACGGGGACCCGCACAAGCGGCGGAGCAUGCGGAUUAAUUCGAUGCAACGCGAAGAACCUUACCAAGGCUUGACAUAUACGAGAACGGGCCAGAAAUGGUCAACUCUUUGGACACUCGUAAACAGGUGGUGCAUGGUUGUCGUCAGCUCGUGUCGUGAGAUGUUGGGUUAAGUCCCGCAACGAGCGCAACCCUCGUUCUAUGUUGCCAGCACGUAAUGGUGGGAACUCAUGGGAUACUGCCGGGGUCAACUCGGAGGAAGGUGGGGAUGACGUCAAAUCAUCAUGCCCCUUAUGUCUUGGGCUUCACGCAUGCUACAAUGGCCGGUACAAAGGGCUGCAAUACCGCGAGGUGGAGCGAAUCCCAAAAAGCCGGUCCCAGUUCGGAUUGAGGUCUGCAACUCGACCUCAUGAAGUCGGAUUCGCUAGUAAUCGCAGAUCAGCAACGCUGCGGUGAAUACGUUCCCGGGUCUUGUACACACCGCCAGUCAAGUCAUGACAGUCGGUAACACCUGAAGCCGGUGGCCCAACCCUUGUGGAGGGAGCCGUCGAAAGUGGGAUCGGUAAUUAGGACUACCUCGUAACACGGUAGCCGUACCGGACCGUGUGUGAGACG
Molecule: ribosomal RNA, 991 nt
Filed under: Microbacterium oleivorans
Lineage: Bacteria; Bacillati; Actinomycetota; Actinomycetes; Micrococcales; Microbacteriaceae
Description: bacterial SSU rRNA
Rfam family: Bacterial small subunit ribosomal RNA
Source: RNAcentral